Molecule: transfer RNA, 65 nt
Filed under: Heterocephalus glaber (naked mole-rat)
Lineage: Eukaryota; Metazoa; Chordata; Mammalia; Rodentia; Bathyergidae
Rfam family: tRNA
About the family: Transfer RNA (tRNA) molecules are approximately 80 nucleotides in length. Their secondary structure includes four short double-helical elements and three loops (D, anti-codon, and T loops). Further hydrogen bonds mediate the characteristic L-shaped molecular structure. tRNAs have two regions of fundamental functional importance: the anti-codon, which is responsible for specific mRNA codon recognition, and the 3' end, to which the tRNAs corresponding amino acid is attached (by aminoacyl-tRNA synthetases). tRNAs cope with the degeneracy of the genetic code in two manners: having more than one tRNA (with a specific anti-codon) for a particular amino acid; and 'wobble' base-pairing, i.e. permitting non-standard base-pairing at the 3rd anti-codon position.
Source: Rfam by way of RNAcentral
AGUGAAGCUCAGUGGUAGAGUGCUUGUCUAGCAUGCAUGAGACCCUGGGUUCUACUUCCAGUACU